This 84-nucleotide transfer RNA is filed under the name Candidatus Dojkabacteria bacterium. RNAcentral describes it as "tRNA-Leu". It matches the Rfam family "tRNA". Rfam says of the family: Transfer RNA (tRNA) molecules are approximately 80 nucleotides in length. Their secondary structure includes four short double-helical elements and three loops (D, anti-codon, and T loops). Further hydrogen bonds mediate the characteristic L-shaped molecular structure. tRNAs have two regions of fundamental functional importance: the anti-codon, which is responsible for specific mRNA codon recognition, and the 3' end, to which the tRNAs corresponding amino acid is attached (by aminoacyl-tRNA synthetases). tRNAs cope with the degeneracy of the genetic code in two manners: having more than one tRNA (with a specific anti-codon) for a particular amino acid; and 'wobble' base-pairing, i.e. permitting non-standard base-pairing at the 3rd anti-codon position. The record is from RNAcentral.
GCCCGAGUGGCGGAAUUGGCAGACGCGCACGCUUCAGGUGCGUGUGUUCGUAAGAAUAUGGGAGUUCGAAUCUCCCCCCGGGCA